GAAAAUUCUCAGGGCGGGGCGAAAUUCCCCACCGGCGGUAAGGGAAAGCCCAAGCCCGCGAGCGCUCAGCGAUGAGGUCAGCAGAUCAGGUGCUAUUCCUGGGCCGACGGUUACAGUCCGGAUGAAAGAGAAUACGC
Molecule: regulatory RNA element, 137 nt
Organism: Rhodobacteraceae bacterium HIMB11
Lineage: Bacteria; Pseudomonadati; Pseudomonadota; Alphaproteobacteria; Rhodobacterales; Paracoccaceae
Rfam family: FMN riboswitch aptamer (RFN element)
About the family: The RFN element is a highly conserved domain that is found frequently in the 5'-untranslated regions of prokaryotic mRNAs that encode for flavin mononucleotide (FMN) biosynthesis and transport proteins. This element is a metabolite-dependent riboswitch that directly binds FMN in the absence of proteins. In Bacillus subtilis, the riboswitch most likely controls gene expression by causing premature transcription termination within the 5' untranslated region of the ribDEAHT operon and precluding access to the ribosome-binding site of ypaA mRNA.
Source: Rfam